RNAcentral lists this ribosomal RNA (469 nucleotides) under uncultured Glomus. Its description in RNAcentral is "SSU rRNA". It matches the Rfam family "Eukaryotic small subunit ribosomal RNA", at positions 569 to 1043 of the family's 1831-position model. Lineage: Eukaryota; Fungi; Glomeromycota; Glomeromycetes; Glomerales; Glomeraceae. The record is from RNAcentral.
AGCAGCCGCGGUAAUUCCAGCUCCAAUAGCGUAUAUUAAAGUUGUUGCAGUUAAAAAGCUCGUAGUUGAAUUUCGGGGCCAGUAGGUUGGUCGUGCCACUGGUAUGCACUGGCCUUACUGGUCCCUCCUUCUUGUAGAACCGUGAUGCCAUUAAUUUGGUGUUGCGGGGAAACAGGACUGUUACUUUGAAAAAUUAGAGUGCUUAAAGCAGGCUCGCGCUUGAAUACAUUAGCAUGGAAUAACGGAAUAGGACGAUCGAACCUAUUUUGUUGGUUUCUAGGAUCGACGUAAUGAUUAAUAGGGAUAGUUGGGGGCAUUAGUAUUCAAUUGUCAGAGGUGAAAUUCUUGGAUUUAUUGAAGACUAACUACUGCGAAAGCAUUUGCCAAGGAUGUUUUCAUUAAUCAAGAACGAAAGUUAGGGGAUCGAAGACGAUCAGAUACCGUCGUAGUCUUAACCAUAAACUAUGCC